AGUCGAGCGAACAGACGAGGAGCUUGCUCCUCUGACGUUAGCGGCGGACGGGUGAGUAACACGUGGAUAACCUACCUAUAAGACUGGGAUAACUUCGGGAAACCGGAGCUAAUACCGGAUAAUAUAUUGAACCGCAUGGAUCAAUAGUGAAAGACGGUUUUGCUGUCACUUAUAGAUGGAUCCGCGCCGCAUUAGCUAGUUGGUAAGGUAACGGCUUACCAAGGCAACGAUGCGUAGCCGACCUGAGAGGGUGAUCGGCCACACUGGAACUGAGACACGGUCCAGACUCCUACGGGAGGCAGCAGUAGGGAAUCUUCCGCAAUGGGCGAAAGCCUGACGGAGCAACGCCGCGUGAGUGAUGAAGGUCUUCGGAUCGUAAAACUCUGUUAUUAGGGAAGAACAAAUGUGUAAGUAACUAUGCACGUCUUGACGGUACCUAAUCAGAAAGCCACGGCUAACUACGUGCCAGCAGCCGCGGUAAUACGUAGGUGGCAAGCGUUAUCCGGAAUUAUUGGGCGUAAAGCGCGCGUAGGCGGUUUUUUAAGUCUGAUGUGAAAGCCCACGGCUCAACCGUGGAGGGUCAUUGGAAACUGGAAAACUUGAGUGCAGAAGAGGAAAGUGGAAUUCCAUGUGUAGCGGUGAAAUGCGCAGAGAUAUGGAGGAACACCAGUGGCGAAGGCGACUUUCUGGUCUGUAACUGACGCUGAUGUGCGAAAGCGUGGGGAUCAAACAGGAUUA
Molecule: ribosomal RNA, 738 nt
Filed under: uncultured Staphylococcus sp.
Lineage: Bacteria; Bacillati; Bacillota; Bacilli; Caryophanales; Staphylococcaceae
Description: bacterial SSU rRNA
Rfam family: Bacterial small subunit ribosomal RNA
Source: RNAcentral